RNAcentral lists this ribosomal RNA (274 nucleotides) under uncultured bacterium. Its description in RNAcentral is "partial 16S ribosomal RNA". It matches the Rfam family "Bacterial small subunit ribosomal RNA", at positions 523 to 796 of the family's 1533-position model. The record is from RNAcentral.
AUACGGAGGGAGCUAGCGUUAUUCGGAAUUACUGGGCGUAAAGCGCACGUAGGCGGCUUUGUAAGUAAGAGGUGAAAGCCCAGAGCUCAACUCUGGAAUUGCCUUUUAGACUGCAUCGCUUGAAUCAUGGAGAGGUCAGUGGAAUUCCGAGUGUAGAGGUGAAAUUCGUAGAUAUUCGGAAGAACACCAGUGGCGAAGGCGGCUGACUGGACAUGUAUUGACGCUGAGGUGCGAAAGCGUGGGGAGCAAACAGGAUUAGAAACCCCGGUAGUCC